Molecule: long non-coding RNA, 568 nt
Organism: Brachypodium distachyon (stiff brome)
Lineage: Eukaryota; Viridiplantae; Streptophyta; Magnoliopsida; Poales; Poaceae
Exons: 2
Source: RefSeq, a predicted model, not a curated record
AUUGGAAGUCGAGCAACCUUGAAAUGAUAUGCUUGUUUGGAUUGACCCCUUGAGAGAUGCUAGUUGCCUUCGUUCAAGCUCUGCCGGGAGGAAAAUUGGAAUCAGUGAAAGCAGGAUGCACGGAUGUCAGAUGCAUUGUAUUGAUUCAGGCGAACAUGCAUGCAUGCCAUGCCACCCUUGCUCUUGCCUGCCUGCCCUAUCUAUGUAUGCAUAGUGGUGUGGAGUAAAAUUUGCACAAGGUACACUGGAUGCAGGAACAGUUCCUUGUUGCUAUUCAGUACUAACACUAGUAAUCAUGGAAAGAUGCUGAUGCAUGCAUGGUCAAAGACUCUCAUUUUCUCACUGGGUGCAUGCCAAAAUUUGAUUGUAACCUUGUAGUGUCAGAUUGGAAGUUCUUAUGCUCUCUGAAAAUGGGGAUGGUAGAUGGUGAGAAUUACAAGGGAGGAAGAGUAAGGGGCUCAGCUGGUUAAAAGAAGAUGGCCUGAAAACAAGUAAUAUAGGACUAGUUCAUUUGUAUAUUUGUUUAUCCUUGUUGGAAGCUUCUAACAUACUGGUCAGGGUUGAGACA